GGGAGGAUACCAAAGUGGCCAACUGGGGCAGACUGUAAAUCUGCUGCGUCAUCGCUUCGUAAGUUCGAAUCUUGCUCCUCCCA
This 83-nucleotide transfer RNA is filed under the name Bacteroidia bacterium. RNAcentral's name for it is "tRNA-Tyr". It matches the Rfam family "tRNA". Rfam says of the family: Transfer RNA (tRNA) molecules are approximately 80 nucleotides in length. Their secondary structure includes four short double-helical elements and three loops (D, anti-codon, and T loops). Further hydrogen bonds mediate the characteristic L-shaped molecular structure. tRNAs have two regions of fundamental functional importance: the anti-codon, which is responsible for specific mRNA codon recognition, and the 3' end, to which the tRNAs corresponding amino acid is attached (by aminoacyl-tRNA synthetases). tRNAs cope with the degeneracy of the genetic code in two manners: having more than one tRNA (with a specific anti-codon) for a particular amino acid; and 'wobble' base-pairing, i.e. permitting non-standard base-pairing at the 3rd anti-codon position. Lineage: Bacteria; Pseudomonadati; Bacteroidota; Bacteroidia. The record is from RNAcentral.